CCUACGGGGAGCAGCAGUGGGGAAUAUUGGACAAUGGGCGAAAGCCUGAUCCAGCCAUGCCGCGUGUGUGAAGAAGGCCUUCGGGUUGUAAAGCACUUUCAGUUGGGAAGAAAGCCUUGGGGCUAAUACCCUCGAGGAAGUACAUCACCCACAGAAGAAGCACCGGCUAACUCCGUGCCAGCAGCCGCGGUAAUACGGAGGGUGCGAGCGUUAAUCGGAAUUACUGGGCGUAAAGCGCGCGUAGGCGGUCUGAUAAGCCGGUUGUGAAAGCCCCGGGCUCAACCUGGGAACGGCAUCCGGAACUGUCAGGCUAGAGUGCAGGAGAGGAAGGUAGAAUUCCAGGUGUAGCGGUGAAAUGCGUAGAGAUCGGGAGGAAUACCAGUGGCGAAGGCGGCCUUCUGGACUGACACUGACGCUGAGGUGCGAAAGCGUGGGUAGCAAACAGGAUUAGAUACCCUGGUAGUC
Molecule: ribosomal RNA, 465 nt
Filed under: Vreelandella stevensii
Lineage: Bacteria; Pseudomonadati; Pseudomonadota; Gammaproteobacteria; Oceanospirillales; Halomonadaceae
Description: partial 16S ribosomal RNA
Rfam family: Bacterial small subunit ribosomal RNA
Source: RNAcentral